This 1447-nucleotide long non-coding RNA is filed under the name Homo sapiens (human). Its description in RNAcentral is "HSALNT0007105". The record is from RNAcentral. Lineage: Eukaryota; Metazoa; Chordata; Mammalia; Primates; Hominidae.
CCAGCAUUAAAGUGCUCCCCGUUACCGGCGUCACUGCCCCAGCCAGUGGAGGCCCCGGAGAGGGACUGAAGAUGUGUCACCUAACUUCUCUGAACCUUCCUCCCUCAAGGAGAACUGAUAAUCCCUAACUCACAGUUCUGUGAGGAUUGAAUGCCUUAAGCAUGCAGGUUAAGUGGCUACUGAAGGCAGUUUUUGUGGACAGGUGAUUUGGGAGCCUGGAGGAAGGGUUACGUGCGCGCGCGUGUGUGCGUGUGUGUGUGCGUGUGUGUAAGAAUCUUUCCGUGAGAGGACAUCUGAGGUGCCUUAGGAGAGUAGGAGUGGACAACAGCAUCCAGGCAGAAGGAGCAGCAUGUAGGUGAAGUCACAGGCUGCCCAAGGAUAGAAGGUGGAGCAGCCUGGCCGAAACUGGUCCCAGCGUCAGAUCUGCGAUGCUGCCCAGGCAUGGUGGUGACCCUCUCUAAACAAGCACACUCAGAAUUUCCCUGGCUCGGCUGGGCGACUCAGAAGAAAACUGGCCAUCAGCUUCUGCCUCAAGCGGUGAAAAGAAAUUGCUGGACAUUGCAGAAAAAUCAGAAAAUGUCAGUAAGUUAAAAGAAAUCAGGCCAGGCACAGUGGCUCAAGCCUGUAAUCCCAACCAGCCUGGCCAACAUGGUGAAACCCUGCCUUCACUAAAAAUACAAAAAUUAGCCAGGCUUCGUGGCGGGCACCUGUAAUACCAGCUACUUGGGAGGCUGAGGCAGGAGAAUUCCCUGAACCUGGGAGGCAGAGGUUGCAGUGAGCCGAGAUCACACCACUGCACUCCAGCCUGAGUGACAAAGACCCCAUCUCAAACAGCUUCUAGUAGCAACCUACAAUGCACAGGACAGGACAGCACCCCCAACAAAGAAUUAUCCAGUCCCAGAUGUCAAGCACCGGGUUGAGAAUCCCUGGUUUAGACUGCCUUAGUUAGGUUUUAGAGACUGGCUGGUUCAAAGGUGCUGUGGCAAGGAAGACAGAGCAUGUGUGUUGUGAACACUCAUUAGAGGAUCAUCCCUGCUGUGCCAGGUGCCAUGGCGCUGGAUGCAGAAAGCAGGACACAUGGAAAGAUGGUGUGUUCACAAAGAAUUUGGAAGAAAGCCAGAUGGUGACAAGAGUGUGUCUCUGAAUGCCCCUUUUGGGGGUCACUAAAAAUGCCCCAGGGUUUUUAGUUAGACCAAAAAGGAGGCUUCAAAGAGAUGACUUCUGAGCCGGGUUGUGAUACAUCUAGGAUGUCAACAGGCAGAGAAAGGGCAGGGACUGGGAGUAAGGAAAGAACAUCUGUUCAAGGCAAAACACUGAUUACCAAAGUUUCUAUCAUCCUUAUGUUGACAACGGACAUAAUUUUAACCUUUUGUAUAAGCCAGACUGUAAAGGAUUAUUAGCAGAAUAAAAGCAUCUAUUGGGCCUGGUGCAGUGGCUCACGCCUGUA